UUACACAUCUACUGUAUGAUAUGAGGUAGUGGAGGUGAGACCAGACACAAUGUCUUUUACACAUCUACUGUAUGAUAUGAGGUAGUGGAGGUGAGACCAGACACAAUGUCUUUUACACAUCUACUGUAUGAUAUGAGGUAGUGGAGGUGAGACCAGACACAAUGUCUUUUAGACAUCUACUGUAUGAUAUGAGGUAGUGGAGGUGAGACAAGACACAAUGACUUUUAUACAUCUACUGUAUGAUAUGAGGUAGUGGAGGUGAGACCAGACACAAUUACUUUUACACAUCUGCUGUAUGAUAUGAGGUAGUGGAGGUGAGACCAGACACAAUGUAUUUUACACAUCUACUGUAUGAUAUGAGGUAGUGGAGGUGAGACCAGACACAAUAUAUUUUACACAUCUACUGUAUGAUAUGAGGUAGUGGAGGUGAGGCCAGACACAAUGUCUUUUACUCAUCUACUGUAUGAUAUGAGGUAGUGGAGGUGAGACCAGACAUAAUGUCUUUUACACAUCUACUGUAUGAUAUGAGGUAGUGGAGGUGAGACCAGACACAAUGUCUUUUAGACAUCUACUGUAUGAUAUGAGGUAGUGGAGGUGAGACAAGACACAAUGACUUUUAUACAUCUACUGUAUGAUAUGAGGUAGUGGAGGUGAGACCAGACACAAUUACUUUUACACAUCUACUGUAUGAUAUGAGGUAGUGGAGGUGAGACCAGACACAAUGUAUUUUACACAUCUACUGUAUGAUAUGAGGUAGUGGAGGUGAGACCAGACACAAUGUAUUUUACACAUCUACUGUAUGAUAUGAGGUAGUGGAGGUGAGACCAGACACAAUGUAUUUUACACAUCUACUAUAUGAUUUGAGGUAGUGGAGGCAGACACAAUGUCUUUUAUAAAUCUACUGUAUGAUUUGAGGUAGUGGAGGCAGGCACAAUGUCUUUUACACAUCUAAUGCAUGAAAUGAGGUAGUCGAGGUGAGAUGAAUUAGGAUGUGGAUCUAAUGUAAUAAUAAAAUCUGACUAUUGUCUGUCAACAG
This is a long non-coding RNA of Esox lucius (northern pike), 1036 nucleotides long. Lineage: Eukaryota; Metazoa; Chordata; Actinopteri; Esociformes; Esocidae. The record is from Ensembl.